This 259-nucleotide ribosomal RNA is filed under the name uncultured Leptotrichia sp. Its description in RNAcentral is "partial 16S ribosomal RNA". It matches the Rfam family "Bacterial small subunit ribosomal RNA", at positions 96 to 356 of the family's 1533-position model. The record is from RNAcentral. Lineage: Bacteria; Fusobacteriati; Fusobacteriota; Fusobacteriia; Fusobacteriales; Leptotrichiaceae.
UGGCGGACGGGUGAGUAACGCGUAAAGAACUUGCCCUUUAGACUGGGAUAACAGAGGGAAACUUCUGAUAAUACUGGAUAAGUUAGUAUAUCGCAUGAUAUGCAAAUGAAAGCUACGGCACUAAAGGAGAGCUUUGCGUCCUAUUAGCUAGUUGGUAAGGUAAGAGCUUACCAAGGCGAUGAUAGGUAGCCGGCCUGAGAGGGUGGACGGCCACAAGGGGACUGAGAUACGGCCCUUACUCCUACGGGAGGCAGCAGCG